AGAGUUUGAUCAUGGCUCAGAACGAACGCUGGCGGCGUGGAUAAGACAUGCAAGUCGAACGGGGUAUUAUUUGUAGCAAUACACGUAAUGCCUAGUGGCGUAAGGGUGCGUAACACGUGGGCAAUCUGCCGAGAAGUGGGGGAUAGCUCGCCGAAAGGCGAAUUAAUACCGCAUGUGGUUAAGGAGGACAUCCUUCUGACACCAAAGCCGGGGCAACCUGGCGCUUCUUGAUGAGCCCGCGGCCUAUCAGCUUGUUGGCGGGGUAACGGCCCACCAAGGCUAUGACGGGUAGCUGGUCUGAGAGGACGACCAGCCACACUGGAACUGAGACACGGUCCAGACACCUACGGGUGGCAGCAGUCGAGAAUUUUUCUCAAUGGGGGAAACCCUGAAGGAGCGACGCCGCGUGGAGGAUGAAGGUCUUCGGAUUGUAAACUCCUGUCAUUUGAGAACAAGUUGCAUCGGUUAACUGCCGAUGCAUUGAUAGUAUCAGAAGAGGAAGAGACGGCUAACUCUGUGCCAGCAGCCGCGGUAAUACAGAGGUCUCAAGCGUUGUUCGGAUUCAUUGGGCGUAAAGGGUGCGUAGGUGGCGAGGUAAGUCAGGUGUGAAAUCUCGGGGCUCAACCCCGAAACUGCACUUGAUACUGCCUUGCUUGAGUACUGGAGAGGAGAUUGGAAUUUACGGUGUAGCAGUGAAAUGCGUAGAUAUCGUAAGGAAGACCAGUGGCGAAGGCGAAUCUCUGGACAGUUACUGACACUGAGGCACGAAGGCCAGGGGAGCAAACGGGAUUAGAUACCCUAGUAGUCC
This 808-nucleotide ribosomal RNA is filed under the name uncultured bacterium. RNAcentral's name for it is "bacterial SSU rRNA". It matches the Rfam family "Bacterial small subunit ribosomal RNA", at positions 8 to 796 of the family's 1533-position model. The record is from RNAcentral.